Molecule: ribosomal RNA, 301 nt
Filed under: uncultured bacterium
Lineage: Bacteria
Description: partial 16S ribosomal RNA
Rfam family: Bacterial small subunit ribosomal RNA
Source: RNAcentral
CAGCCGCCGCGGGAAUACGGAGGGUGCAUGCGUUAUCCGGAUUUAUUGGGUUUAAAGGGUCCGUAGGCGGAUCUGUAAGUCAGUGGUGAAAUCUCACAGCUUAACUGUGAAACUGCCAUUGAUACUGCAGGUCUUGAGUAAAUUUGAAGUGGCUGGAAUAAGUAGUGUAGCGGUGAAAUGCAUAGAUAUUACUUAGAACACCAAUUGCGAAGGCAGGUCACUAAGAUUUAACUGACGCUGAUGGACGAAAGCGUGGGGAGCGAACAGGAUUAGAUACCCCAGUAGUCCCUGUCUCUUAUAC